GCUCCGGCAACUUUUGACUUGUUCUAAUAUAAAUAGUAAUGAUUUUCAUCGAAGAAAAAGAUAGACAUUUUUGUCGUUAAUGUGUUAUUUUUCUAAAAGAAUCUGUUUGUUUAAUCGGACAUCGUAGAGUCUUAAUUUUAUUUCUGUUAGCCGAACUGGACUUCAUAUUGUGUAUUGAAUUGAAACAUGAACGCGGACCUCGAUGAGAACACCUGGAUUGAAAGUUUGCAAACGUUCAGACCAAUGAAAUUCAUUUUAAUAUGUAACGAGAACUUCAACGAGAGCACCUAGAUGAAAUAUAUUAUCUUUACUACAUUCAGUUUUAACUUAGAAAUUUC
This 338-nucleotide long non-coding RNA is filed under the name Mytilus galloprovincialis (Mediterranean mussel). Lineage: Eukaryota; Metazoa; Mollusca; Bivalvia; Mytilida; Mytilidae. The record is from RNAcentral.